UGGCCGGAAAUAAGAAUGAUACUCUUAGCUAGUAGUAUACUACCCGGCGAGAUCCUUAAG
RNAcentral lists this transfer RNA (60 nucleotides) under Porcellionides pruinosus. Its description in RNAcentral is "tRNA-Ile". Lineage: Eukaryota; Metazoa; Arthropoda; Malacostraca; Isopoda; Porcellionidae. The record is from RNAcentral.